UAAGGCUGAGGCGUGAUGACGAGGCACUACGGUGCUGAAGCAACAAAUGCCCUGCUUCCAGGAAAAGCCUCUAAGCAUCAGGUAACAUCAAAUCGUACCCCAAACCGACACAGGUGGUCAGGUAGAGAAUACCAAGGCGCUUGAGAGAACUCGGGUGAAGGAACUAGGCAAAAUGGUGCCGUAACUUCGGGAGAAGGCACGCUGAUAUGUAGGUGAAGCGACUUGCUCGUGGAGCUGAAAUCAGUCGAAGAUACCAGCUGGCUGCAACUGUUUAUUAAAAACACAGCACUGUGCAAACACGAAAGUGGACGUAUACGGUGUGACGCCUGCCCGGUGCCGGAAGGUUAAUUGAUGGGGUCAGCGCAAGCGAAGCUCUUGAUCGAAGCCCCGGUAAACGGCGGCCGUAACUAUAACGGUCCUAAGGUAGCGAAAUUCCUUGUCGGGUAAGUUCCGACCUGCACGAAUGGCGUAAUGAUGGCCAGGCUGUCUCCACCCGAGACUCAGUGAAAUUGAACUCGCUGUGAAGAUGCAGUGUACCCGCGGCAAGACGGAAAGACCCCGUGAACCUUUACUAUAGCUUGACACUGAACAUUGAGCCUUGAUGUGUAGGAUAGGUGGGAGGCUUUGAAGUGUGGACGCCAGUCUGCAUGGAGCCGACCUUGAAAUACCACCCUUUAAUGUUUGAUGUUCUAACGUGGACCCGUAAUCCGGGUUGCGGACAGUGUCUGGUGGGUAGUUUGACUGGGGCGGUCUCCUCCUAAAGAGUAACGGAGGAGCACGAAGGUUGGCUAAUCCUGGUCGGACAUCAGGAGGUUAGUGCAAUGGCAUAAGCCAGCUUGACUGCGAGCGUGACGGCGCGAGCAGGUGCGAAAGCAGGUCAUAGUGAUCCGGUGGUUCUGAAUGGAAGGGCCAUCGCUCAACGGAUAAAAGGUACUCCGGGGAUAACAGGCUGAUACCGCCCAAGAGUUCAUAUCGACGGCGGUGUUUGGCACCUCGAUGUCGGCUCAUCACAUCCUGGGGCUGAAGUAGGUCCCAAGGGUAUGGCUGUUCGCCAUUUAAAGUGGUACGCGAGCUGGGUUUAGAACGUCGUGAGACAGUUCGGUCCCUAUCUGCCGUGGGCGCUGGAGAACUGAGGGGGGCUGCUCCUAGUACGAGAGGACCGGAGUGGACGCAUCACUGGUGUUCGGGUUGUCAUGCCAAUGGCACUGCCCGGUAGCUAAAUGCGGAAGAGAUAAGUGCUGAAAGCAUCUAAGCACGAAACUUGCCCCGAGAUGAGUUCUCCCUGACUCCUUGAGAGUCCUGAAGGAACGUUGAAGACGACGACGUUGAUAGGCCGGGUGUGUAAGCGCAGCGAUGCGUUGAGCUAACCGGUACUAAUGAACCGUGAGGCUUAACCUU
RNAcentral lists this ribosomal RNA (1398 nucleotides) under Escherichia coli. Its description in RNAcentral is "partial 23S ribosomal RNA". It matches the Rfam family "Bacterial large subunit ribosomal RNA", at positions 1551 to 2925 of the family's 2925-position model. Lineage: Bacteria; Pseudomonadati; Pseudomonadota; Gammaproteobacteria; Enterobacterales; Enterobacteriaceae. The record is from RNAcentral.